This 565-nucleotide ribosomal RNA is filed under the name Rhodotorula mucilaginosa. Its description in RNAcentral is "LSU rRNA". It matches the Rfam family "Eukaryotic large subunit ribosomal RNA", at positions 63 to 643 of the family's 3401-position model. The record is from RNAcentral. Lineage: Eukaryota; Fungi; Basidiomycota; Microbotryomycetes; Sporidiobolales; Sporidiobolaceae.
AACUAACAAGGGAUUCCCCUAGUAGCGGCGAGCGAAGCGGGAAGAGCUCAAAUUUAUAAUCUGGCACCUUCGGUGUCCGAGUUGUAAUCUCUAGAAAUGUUUUCCGCGCUGGACCGCACACAAGUCUGUUGGAAUACAGCGGCAUAGUGGUGAGACCCCCGUAUAUGGUGCGGACGCCCAGCGCUUUGUGAUACAUUUUCGAAGAGUCGAGUUGUUUGGGAAUGCAGCUCAAAUUGGGUGGUAAAUUCCAUCUAAAGCUAAAUAUUGGCGAGAGACCGAUAGCGAACAAGUACCGUGAGGGAAAGAUGAAAAGCACUUUGGAAAGAGAGUUAACAGUACGUGAAAUUGUUGGAAGGGAAACGCUUGAAGUCAGACUUGCUUGCCGAGCAAUCGGUUUGCAGGCCAGCAUCAGUUUUCCGGGAUGGAUAAUGGUAGAGAGAAGGUAGCAGUUUCGGCUGUGUUAUAGCUCUCUGCUGGAUACAUCUUGGGGGACUGAGGAACGCAGUGUGCCUUUGGCGGGGGUUUCGACCUCUUCACACUUAGGAUGCUGGUGGAAUGGCUUUAA